Molecule: small nuclear RNA, 246 nt
Filed under: Mus caroli (Ryukyu mouse)
Lineage: Eukaryota; Metazoa; Chordata; Mammalia; Rodentia; Muridae
Description: sRNA (MGP_CAROLIEiJ_G0008823.1)
Rfam family: 7SK RNA
About the family: 7SK was discovered as an abundant small nuclear RNA in the mid-70s but a possible function has only recently been suggested. Two independent studies have found that 7SK RNA binds the CDK9/cyclin T complex (known as elongation factor P-TEFb).
Source: RNAcentral
GGAUGUGAGGGCGGUCUGGCUGCGACAUCUGUCACCCCAGUGGUCGCCAAGGUUGAUACAGCUCAUCGUCUGGCUAGGCUGGUAUCUUCCUCUUCCCUCACCAUGCCAUGCAUGUCCCUCUAGAAGCCACACGCCAAAUAGAGGAGACCUGGACUUUGGUCAAGGGUGUUGGAAUAGUUAUGCUCCCCUCCUAAAACUUCUAAACAAACUCUCAAGUCCAACAUAUGCAACAAAAACCUGGACCUU